UGGGGAAUAUUGGACAAUGGGCGAAAGCCUGAUCCAGCCAUGCCGCGUGUGUGAAGAAGGUCUUCGGAUUGUAAAGCUCUUUAAGUUGGGAGGAAGGGCAGUAAGCGAAUACCUUGCUGUUUUUACGUUACCGACAGAAUAAGCACCGGCUAACUCUGUGCCAGCAGCCGCGGUAAUACCGAGGGUGCAAGCGUUAAUCGUAAUUACUGGGCGUAAAGCGGGCGUAGGUGGUUCGUUAAGUUGAAUGUGAAAGCCCCGGGCUCAACCUGGGAACUGCAUCCAAAACUGGCGAGCGAGAGUAGGGCAGAGGGUGGUGGAAUAUCCUGUGUAGCGGUGAAAAGCGUAGAUAUAGGAAGGAAAACCAGUGGCGAAGGAGACCACCUGGGGUCAUACUGACACUGAGGUGCGAAAGCGUGGGGAGCAAAAAGG
This 429-nucleotide ribosomal RNA is filed under the name Pseudomonadota bacterium. RNAcentral's name for it is "Proteobacteria bacterium partial 16S ribosomal RNA". It matches the Rfam family "Bacterial small subunit ribosomal RNA", at positions 355 to 776 of the family's 1533-position model. Lineage: Bacteria; Pseudomonadati; Pseudomonadota. The record is from RNAcentral.